UACGGAGGGUGCAAGCGUUAUCCGGAAUUACUGGGUUUAAAGGGUGCGUAGGCGGCUUGAUAAGUCAGAGGUGAAAGCCUAUCGCUUAACGAUAGAAUUGCCUUUGAUACUGUAAAGCUUGAAAGGGGUUGAGGUCAGCAGAAUGUGGCAUGUAGCGGUGAAAUGCAUAGAGAUGCCAGAGAACACCGAUUGCGAAGGCAGCUGGCUGGGCCUACUUUGACGAUGAGGCACGAAAGAGUGGGGAGCGAACAGG
Molecule: ribosomal RNA, 253 nt
Filed under: uncultured bacterium
Lineage: Bacteria
Description: partial 16S ribosomal RNA
Rfam family: Bacterial small subunit ribosomal RNA
Source: RNAcentral